This 718-nucleotide ribosomal RNA is filed under the name Pantoea sp. RNAcentral describes it as "bacterial SSU rRNA". It matches the Rfam family "Bacterial small subunit ribosomal RNA", at positions 770 to 1488 of the family's 1533-position model. The record is from RNAcentral. Lineage: Bacteria; Pseudomonadati; Pseudomonadota; Gammaproteobacteria; Enterobacterales; Erwiniaceae.
UAACAGGAUUAGAUACCCUGGUAGUCCACGCCGUAAACGAUGUCGACUUGGAGGUUGUUCCCUUGAGGAGUGGCUUCCGGAGCUAACGCGUUAAGUCGACCGCCUGGGGAGUACGGCCGCAAGGUUAAAACUCAAAUGAAUUGACGGGGGCCCGCACAAGCGGUGGAGCAUGUGGUUUAAUUCGAUGCAACGCGAAGAACCUUACCUACUCUUGACAUCCAGAGAAUUUAGCAGAGAUGCUUUGGUGCCUUCGGGAACUGUGAGACAGGUGCUGCAUGGCUGUCGUCAGCUCGUGUUGUGAAAUGUUGGGUUAAGUCCCGCAACGAGCGCAACCCUUAUCCUUUGUUGCCAGCGAUUCGGUCGGGAACUCAAAGGAGACUGCCGGUGAUAAACCGGAGGAAGGUGGGGAUGACGUCAAGUCAUCAUGGCCCUUACGAGUAGGGCUACACACGUGCUACAAUGGCGCAUACAAAGAGAAGCGACCUCGCGAGAGCAAGCGGACCUCAUAAAGUGCGUCGUAGUCCGGAUCGGAGUCUGCAACUCGACUCCGUGAAGUCGGAAUCGCUAGUAAUCGUGGAUCAGAAUGCCACGGUGAAUACGUUCCCGGGCCUUGUACACACCGCCCGUCACACCAUGGGAGUGGGUUGCAAAAGAAGUAGGUAGCUUAACCUUCGGGAGGGCGCUUACCACUUUGUGAUUCAUGACUGGGGUGAAGUCG